AUACGUAGGGGGCAAGCGUUAUCCGGAUUUACUGGGUGUAAAGGGAGCGUAGACGGUGUGACAAGUCUGAUGUGAAAACCCGGGGCUCGACUCCGGGAUUGCAUUGGAAACUGCCAUACUUGAGUGCAGGAGAGGCAAGCGGAAUUCCUAGUGUAGCGGUGAAAUGCGUAGAUAUUAGGAGGAACACCGGCGGCGAAGGCGGCUUACUGGACUGUAACUGACGUUGAGGCUCGAAAGCGUGGGGAGCAAACAGGAUUAGAUACCCUGGUAGUCCACGCGGUAAACGAUGAAUACUAGGUGUUGGGGGUCUAUAGACCCUCGGUGCCGCAGCAAACGCAAUAAGUAUUCCACCUGGGGAGUACGUUCGCAAGAAUGAAACUCAAAGGAAUUGGCGGGG
RNAcentral lists this ribosomal RNA (397 nucleotides) under uncultured bacterium. Its description in RNAcentral is "partial 16S ribosomal RNA". It matches the Rfam family "Bacterial small subunit ribosomal RNA", at positions 523 to 918 of the family's 1533-position model. The record is from RNAcentral.